GCUUAUGUCACAAUCCCUGUCUCUCUACCAUGCUAGGUAGAUAGCAGGAUGCGGCCUUGUGGGUGGUAGCUGGUAUGUUGGUGGAAACUCCAUGCUUCCAUGGAACCAGCUGUAGAGGAGUGGUGAUGCAAUGAGCAUCCUGGAAGUUUAGUUGUCAUUUGUCACCUUUUGGAUAAUGGAGUAGAUUUCUGAAGCUAUUUCUCCUUGUUUGGUGUUCUGCCUGCAAUUUGGACAAGUGGACUUCAGAUUAUGUCUUCGUAGACUGAAAGGCUUGGGACUACUUUGGUUUUCUGGGGGUCCACUUCAGACCCUAGUUGCCUUGGUUUUUCCCAUACCUGGAGAUGUCACCAGUGAAGCCUGGGAAACAGCAAAGAGGGCAGCCUGAUCGUUCAUCUGGAAACUUUGUUCCAGCAUAAGAAGCCUCUCACCCUAAACAUCACAGCUGGGAAUAUGCUGGACCACAACUAAAGCCAGCAUGGCACUGACUCUGACCAAAGAGAAGCCUGAAGUGCUCUGAAGGCUGCCAACAAAAUGUCAAGUGAGUCCACUGACAAAAAGGAAGAGAAACCUUGGAAAAACAUUAUUGCUUAUGUUCCAUCUGAAUCUGAGCAGCUGACCUGAGGAAGGAGGGAAGCACAGGGAAGUGGAACAUCAGAGAGGAGAAGCCUGGCUCAACUUGGCAGAGAAGGCAUCUUCAGAGAAGGAGUGCCCACACUGACACCUGAAUGAUGACUAGUGCUUAACCAGAUGAACUGGAUGAGAAAGGCAUUUCAGACACAGGGCAUAGCAUGAACAAGGGUCCAGAGAUGAGGGUGCAAGCAGAGUCCAGGGUGCACAGGGAGUUCAGUACAGCUGGAGCUCAGAUGCUAGGGAGAGGAGUAGGGAGAAAAGAGGCUCCAUUACAAAAAUGUAGGCAUGAGAUCAAAGGGAACCUGGAGUACUAUGCUAAGGGGACUCAAUCCUAGGUGAUGGGGAGGCAUUGAAGGAUUUAGGUGAGAUUGGCAUUUAGGAAGCUCACUUGAAGCAGUGUUGAAUGGGUAGGAGUGGGGUAAGACUGGAGCUGGUGCAGCAAUAUGGGUGAGUGUAGCUGUGUGUGAAAAAAGGUCCGAGUUUAAUGGGAAAACUAAGGAGUGUGGGGUGGGAGGAAACUUGAUGAGAGAGGAUUUCCAAGGAUAAUAUUCUAGAUGUGUGGGUUGAUGACAAUGCUGAGAGCAGGGACAGAGGAAGAGAAGCAGGCUUGCUGGGGGGAAAUGAUGAACUUCUUGAGGUUCUUACCAGACACCUAAGUGGAGAUGCCCUUUGGGUGCCACAUGCGCCCACACUGCUGAUAAGGGAUCUGCAUAGUGGGGGGAGAUUUGGAAGUCAAUGAAGCCACAGAUAGGGAUGAGCUUUUCAAAGAAGAGUGUGUGGAGUGAAAGGGUUAGGGACAUAGAACCAAACCCUGAGACCCACUCCACUGAAGGCAAAGAAGAGGAGGAGUAUACAGAGAACACAAGGAAGAAGUGGUCAAAACGUAGAAGGAAGAUUGGUCUCCAGGGGUGGGGGGGGGGGGUCCUGAAUUUGAGCAUGAUUUUUAGUGCACAAUAGAUCCCACAGAGCUUUCAAGAAACACUUGGUGGUUGGUGAAGACCCAAAUAAUGGUGAGUGUGUUUUACAUUUUAGAGUUCCAGGUAAUUUUCCUUCUUGGUAUCAUCUGGUUAUGGUAUAUAAUUUGGAGGAAAAAACUACUUUCAUUCACUUUUUAUUUUUCCUCAGAAAGACUUGAAGAAAUACAAAACCAUAGGACUUUUGGUAUGUGAUGGAGACAUUCCAUACAAUUAGUACAGAACAUAGACAAAUGGAAAAUAUUGUGUUUUGCUUGAAAUUAUCUCUGUGGACUAAAAUGUAAACCUAGAUUUUGCAUAUGCAUGUGUAUUUAUUAAUGACAUUAUUUAACUCUCAUUCUAGAUAGUUUUGUGUUGAACUCUAUUUAGAUGAGUAGAGACAUACUAAUUAUCUCAGUUAAUUAGCCAAAAUAAAUCUACAUAGUUUAACACAUCAAAGAUUUAUUUUCCACUCAUGGUUUAUAUUUACUAUGGGUCAGUGGGAGUUAUGCUCCACAUGAUUACUCAGGGAUUCACUCUGACAUGGGUCCACCGUAUUUUUUUUUUUUUUUUGAGACAGAGUAUUUUUAGUAGAGACGGGGUUUCACCAAGUUGGCCAGGCUGGUCUCAAGCUCCUGACCUCAGGUGAUUCACUCACCUCAGCCUCCCAAAGUUCUGGGAUUACAGGUGUGAGCCAUUGCCAGGCCCACCAUCUUAAAACUGCACCAUCCUCAGCAGGGGAAAAAGAGAGAUGCUGUAUCACAUCCUGUCUCUGCAAUGCUUUGUCUGGGAAGGGGCACGUACCGCUUUGAUCCACAGCACAUUGGCCAGGACUAAGCAUGCAGUCUCAUCUAAUUGCAUGGAGGAGCACAAUUCCUCCAUGGCAGGUGGUACAGUUCUCUGCCACACUCGAUAUUGUAUAAAUCCAGGGUCCCAGAAGAUAGAAGGCAGCAAAAUAUAAGGAAAUUAAUGAUACCUUACAAUUAAUAUUAACAGUAUUACCAAAAUACUUUUCUUAAAAAUUAUGUAAACCCAGUGUGCAUCUAUAUAAUUUUACAAUAUCUAGUUUCAUUAGAAGCAAUUUAUUUUUUAAAACCCAGUUCUUUGGAUUUAGAAAUAUUAUUUGUAAUAUUGUAAUACCACAUUAACAUUACAUUUAUAUAUUUUCCAGUAUCAAUUUAAUUAAGAGUAACUAGACUGUAUUUUAUUGUUGUUUUUAUAUGAAAAUAAGUAUAAAAAUGUAGAAAAUUGCAGUCAUAAAAAGUUUCAGCUACUUUGCCUCUGCCAUAAAACCUAAUCUUGGUAUAAUUAAAAUAUGUCAUGAUAUAUUUCUAUCUUUGCUUUCUGUAGAAACUGUGCAAAUGCUAGACAGAUAAAUCACACAGUCACUUAUAAAGAAUUGAAUUUCAACAAAAAAAAUUACCAAUAGAUGUUUUUUUCUUAUUUCAGUUUAUAAGGAAAUUGCUAGACUAUGAAAAGUUAAAUUUCCCAGUUUUAUUAUACAAUAUGUUUUUAUUUCUUUUGAACUAAAGCAUUCAAUAAAAAGUUCCCAAGUUUGAAAUUACCAAUCAUUUAGAGAGAAUAAAGCUCAUGUGUAAGAUUUGUUUUCUUAGAAGACAAGUUAGGGAAUAGUUCUGUUUUCUUUUCUUGGCUCAGAUUCUACAACUUCAUGGUGGAAAUUUUAUCCUUGAAC
This 3276-nucleotide long non-coding RNA is filed under the name Homo sapiens (human). RNAcentral describes it as "HSALNT0314978". Lineage: Eukaryota; Metazoa; Chordata; Mammalia; Primates; Hominidae. The record is from RNAcentral.